AGAUUGAACGCUGGCGGCAGGCCUAACACAUGCAAGUCGAGCGGCAGCACGGGUACUUGUACCUGGUGGCGAGCGGCGGACGGGUGAGUAAUGCCUAGGAAUCUGCCUGGUAGUGGGGGAUAACGCUCGGAAACGGACGCUAAUACCGCAUACGUCCUACGGGAGAAAGCAGGGGACCUUCGGGCCUUGCGCUAUCAGAUGAGCCUAGGUCGGAUUAGCUAGUUGGUGAGGUAAUGGCUCACCAAGGCGACGAUCCGUAACUGGUCUGAGAGGAUGAUCAGUCACACUGGAACUGAGACACGGUCCAGACUCCGUACGGGAGGCAGCAGGUGGGGAAAUAUUGGACAAGUGGGACGAAAGCCUGAUCCAGCAACGCCGCGUGAGGAUGA
This 389-nucleotide ribosomal RNA is filed under the name uncultured soil bacterium. RNAcentral's name for it is "bacterial SSU rRNA". It matches the Rfam family "Bacterial small subunit ribosomal RNA", at positions 26 to 411 of the family's 1533-position model. The record is from RNAcentral.